Molecule: long non-coding RNA, 1041 nt
Filed under: Anas zonorhyncha (Eastern spot-billed duck)
Lineage: Eukaryota; Metazoa; Chordata; Aves; Anseriformes; Anatidae
Description: lncRNA (ENSAZOG00000010844.1)
Source: RNAcentral
CUUUGGGGUCCCGUCGUUUUGGGGUCCUGUUGCUUUGGGGUCCCAGCAUUUCGGGGCACCAGUGGGGGGGGUCCCAGCAUUUCGGCUCCCGCAGUUUUGGGGUAUGGGGGCCCCAAAGCUUUGGGGUCCCAGAGUUUCGGGGUCUCGGCAUUUUGGGGUCCCGGUGUUUUGGCUCCUGCAGUUUUGGGGUGUGGGGGUCCCAUAGCUUUGGGGUCCCCCAGUUUUGGGGUCCCGGCGUUUCAGGGCCCCAGCCUGGGGGUGUCCCGGAGUUUCAGCUCCCGUAGUUUCGGGGUCUGGGGGUCCCAUAGGGGUCCCUCAGUUUUGGGGGUCCCAUUUGGGGUCCCGACAUUUUGGGGUCCCGGCGUUUUGGGGCACCAGAGGGGGGGUCCCGAAGUUUCAUCUCCCACAGUUUCGGGGUCCGGGGGUCCCGUAGCUUUGGGGUCCCUCAGUUUUGGGGUCCCAAAGUUUCGUCUCCCACAGUUUUGGGGGUCCCGAAGUUUCAUCUCCCACAGUUUCGGGGUCCAGGGGUCCCGCAGCUUUGGGGUCCCUCAGUUUUGGGGUCCCAAAGUUUCGUCUCCCACAGUUUCGGGAUCCGGGGGUCCCAAAGCUUUGGGGUCCCAGAUUUUUGGGGUCCCUGCAUUUUGGGGUCCCUGCAUUUUGGGGUCCCGUUGUUUUGGGGUCCUGCUGUUUUGGGGUCCCAGCAUUUUGGGGUCCCAGCAUUUUGGGUCACCACCGGGGGGUUCCCAAACUUUCACCUCCCCCAAUUUCGUNNNNNNNNNNUCGAGAGGAAGAACCCCAAAAGUGAGGAGCAGGAGCCCCAAAUCCACGGGAUCCGAAAUCCACGGGAGCCUAAAUCCACGGACCCCAAAUCCACGGGAUUUCGAGGAGCAGGACCCCAAAUCCACGGGGUCCCCAAUCCACAGGACCCUGAGGAGCAGGAGCCCAAAACGCCAGGAUCCCAAAAAUCCGGGACCCCGAGCAGGAGGACCCCAAAUCCACGGGACCCCAAAUCCACGGGACCCUAAAGUUACGGGAUCUUGA